Molecule: ribosomal RNA, 348 nt
Filed under: uncultured Verrucomicrobiota bacterium
Lineage: Bacteria; Pseudomonadati; Verrucomicrobiota
Description: bacterial SSU rRNA
Rfam family: Bacterial small subunit ribosomal RNA
Source: RNAcentral
AACGAACGCUGGCGGCGUGGAUAAGACAUGCAAGUCGAGCGAUCAUCAUGGGGUAGCAAUAUUCGAUGGUGGGAGCGGCGCAAGGGUGCGUAACACGUGGGCAAUCUGCCAUGAAGUUUGGGAUAAUCCCGCGAAAGCGGGACUAAUACCGGAUGUGGACCUUGGGGAGGCAUCUUCUGGGGGUUUUAAAGUUGGGGGACCGCAAGGCCUGACGCUUCAUGAUGAGCCCGCGGCCUAUCAGCUAGUUGGUGAGGUAACGGCUCACCAAGGCGAAGACGGGUAGCUGGUCUGAGAGGACGACCAGCCACACUGGAACUGAGACACGGUCCAGACACCUACGGGAGGCUG